GGCGGUUCUCGGGUGAUGCACCCUUGGAAUCGGGCUCCCUCCUCUCUGGUUCUGGGUGCGUCACCCCAGAACCGAA
Myotis lucifugus (little brown bat) is the source of this 76-nucleotide non-coding RNA. Lineage: Eukaryota; Metazoa; Chordata; Mammalia; Chiroptera; Vespertilionidae. The record is from Rfam.